GAUGAACGCUGGCGGCGUGCCUAAUACAUGCAAGUCGAGCGAACAGACGAGGAGCUUGCUCCUCUGACGUUAGCGGCGGACGGGUGAGUAACACGUGGAUAACCUACCUAUAAGACUGGGAUAACUUCGGGAAACCGGAGCUAAUACCGGAUAAUAUAUUGAACCGCAUGGUUCAAUAGUGAAAGACGGUUUUGCUGUCACUUAUAGAUGGAUCCGCGCCGCAUUAGCUAGUUGGUAAGGUAACGGCUUACCAAGGCGACGAUGCGUAGCCGACCUGAGAGGGUGAUCGGCCACACUGGAACUGAGACACGGUCCAGACUCCUACGGGAGGCAGCAGUAGGGAAUCUUCCGCAAUGGGCGAAAGCCUGACGGAGCAACGCCGCGUGAGUGAUGAAGGUCUUCGGAUCGUAAAACUCUGUUAUUAGGGAAGAACAAAUGUGUAAGUAACUAUGCACGUCUUGACGGUACCUAAUCAGAGAGCCACGGCUAACUACGUG
This 497-nucleotide ribosomal RNA is filed under the name uncultured bacterium. RNAcentral's name for it is "partial 16S ribosomal RNA". It matches the Rfam family "Bacterial small subunit ribosomal RNA", at positions 28 to 507 of the family's 1533-position model. The record is from RNAcentral.